Molecule: non-coding RNA, 20 nt
Filed under: Arabidopsis thaliana (thale cress)
Lineage: Eukaryota; Viridiplantae; Streptophyta; Magnoliopsida; Brassicales; Brassicaceae
Source: RNAcentral
UUGGAGGUUUUACGUUCGCA